CCUACGGGAGGCAGCAGUGAGGAAUAUUGGUCAAUGGACGCAAGUCUGAACCAGCCAUGCCGCGUGCAGGAGGACGGCUCUAUGAGUUGUAAACUGCUUUUGUACGAGGGUAAACGCAGAUACGCGUAUCUGUCUGAAAGUAUCGUACGAAUAAGGAUCGGCUAACUCCGUGCCAGCAGCCGCGGUAAUACGGAGGAUUCAAGCGUUAUCCGGAUUUAUUGGGUUUAAAGGGUGCGUAGGCGGUCGGAUAAGUUAGAGGUGAAAUCCCGAGGCUCAACUUCGGAAUUGCCUCUGAUACUGUUAGGCUAGAGAGUAGUUGCGGUAGGCGGAAUGUAUGGUGUAGCGGUGAAAUGCGUAGAGAUCAUACAGAACACCGAUUGCGAAGGCAGCUUACCAAGCUACGUCUGACGUUGAGGCACGAAAGCGUGGGGAGCAAACAGGAUUAGAUACCCGAGUAGUC
This 460-nucleotide ribosomal RNA is filed under the name uncultured bacterium. Its description in RNAcentral is "partial 16S ribosomal RNA". It matches the Rfam family "Bacterial small subunit ribosomal RNA", at positions 338 to 795 of the family's 1533-position model. The record is from RNAcentral.